This is an RNA transcript of Salvia hispanica, 3872 nucleotides long. RefSeq lists it as uncharacterized. The record is from RefSeq and is a predicted model, not a curated record. NCBI's taxonomy places the organism in Eukaryota, Viridiplantae, Streptophyta, Magnoliopsida, Lamiales, Lamiaceae.
UCUUCACCAAUCUUCUAUACUGCGCCUGUUCUCAGUCGACUCGCCGGAAUGUUCACACGAAGCAGUAGAAAGAGAAGCCAAGAGCAACAACAUUAGGAAGACGAGUGGAGUGAAAAGAGAAGAAGCCGACCAGAAUCAGGAUGGAUGCAUCAGUAGUGAAGGUUAUGGGCAUGACAUGGUAUCGUGGUCAAUUUUCUCAGUUGCAGAACCGGGCAUUUAGAAGUUACCAGCCUCGAAUCUGUUUAAAGUGUCCAUCUGUACAGGCUGAAAGAUCGAAACGAUCUCCUGUGAGAGCUGGGAUAUCACGUGCUCUAAAAUUUAAAACAGGAACGAAAAUUUGCCCACUACGAAGUUGCGCUAGUGUCUCAUCCCCUUUCUCUGCAUCUAGAGCCAUGACAUCCAUUGGAUGUGAGCUUUUGAACUCUGGGAUGCCCAUGAAUGUUUCCUUUUAUGGGUCAGUAGGUGGACCAUGGGCGACUAGUUAUGCUAGUAAUAGCAUCAGCAGGUCAUAUUCCCAAACAGCAAAGGCGGGUACACGAAAUCGUAUUAUUUCAACGGAAGGAGGGAGCAGUGGGAAGAAUACUACUGAUGCUGCAGAGGUGCCAGAUAGCUCCAAAAAGAUAUCUGGGGCCAAGGAGGUUAGAAAAGGCAAAAGCAAAAGUAAGAACAAACAGCCUAAAGUACCCCCAGAGGUGCAGUCUAAUUUGACAGUAGCAGAAGUGGUUGAAAGCGUUGAUACACCUAAGACAGUUCAAAAGAAAGUGAAGAGGAGCCCUGCUAGAAAGAAAAAAUCUACUGUGGAAUCUAGUUCUCUUCCCAAAUCCAAUGUAGAUUUUACAGGAAAAUCAAAUCUCAAGGUUUCGCCUACCCCAACUUCUUGCCUAGUCUCUAAAGCAAAGCCUCUAGGCGGAAAGGCUUGGCCUCAAUUAUAUCCACCUAUUAGUAAAUCUGUUGUAGUGGUUGAGUCAGUGACGAAGGCAAAAGUCAUUCAAGGGUACCUUGGUGAAAUGUAUGAAGUCCUUCCGAGUUAUGGCCAUGUAAGGGAUUUGGCUGCAAGAUCAGGAUCGGUACGACCUGAUGAUGACUUCAGUAUGGUGUGGGAAGUCCCAUCUCCCGCCUGGUCUCAUCUUAAGAGUAUCAAGGUUGCAUUGAGUGGGGCGCAAAAUCUUAUUCUUGCCUCAGACCCUGAUCGUGAAGGAGAGGCUAUUGCCUGGCACCUAAUUGAGAUGUUGCAGCAACAGGAUGCACUUCGUGAAGAUGUCAGCAUUGCUAGAGUUGUUUUCAAUGAAAUUACUGAAUCAUCUAUUAAAAGUUCUCUUCAAGCUCCACGGGACAUAGAUGCUGAUUUGGUGCAUGCUUAUCUUGCUCGGCGUGCUCUUGAUUACUUGAUUGGCUUCAAUGUUUCUCCUCUGCUUUGGAGGAAACUACCAGGUUGCCAGUCUGCUGGACGUGUCCAAUCUGCUGCUUUAGCUCUCAUAUGUGAUAGAGAAAAGGAGAUAGAUGACUUUAAAUCUACAGAGUACUGGACUAUCAAUGCUUACUUCCAGAAUAACAAUCUGAACUCAACCAACAAUGCCACUGUCACUUCACAUCUAACACAUUUUGAUUCCAAAAAGCUGAAUCAGUUGUCAAUCAGCUCUGACGUGGAGGCAAAAAGUAUUGAAGAGAAGAUUAAUAUAUCCAAGUUUGAAGUGAUUGGUUCUAAAACCAGCAAAACCCGUAGAAACCCACCCAUGCCGUAUAUAACAUCAACAAUCCAGCAAGACGCAGCAAACAAAUUAAACUUUGCAGCUUCAUAUACCAUGAAAGUAGCACAAAAGCUUUACGAGGGAGUUGAAUUAUCAGAUGGAAAGGCCACUGGACUGAUAACUUACAUGAGAACUGAUGGCUUACACUUAUCUGAUGAAGCUGCGAAGAGCAUUCAAAACUUUGUUGUUGAAAAAUAUGGGCCGAAUUUUGCAACAAAGUCUACUCGCAAGUAUUUUAAGAAGGUUAAAAAUGCUCAGGAGGCCCAUGAAGCCAUUAGACCCACUGAUAUCCGUAGAGUACCGUCAAGCCUUGCUGGGGUUCUUGAUGCAGAUUCCCUGAAGUUAUAUACUCUUAUAUGGUGUCGGACGAUGGCAUGCCAAAUGGAACCGGCCAUCAUUGAGCAGUUGCAAUGUGAUAUCGGAAAUGCCGAUCAAUCCAUUGUGUUUCGUUCUACAUGCUCAAGGGUUGAAUUUUUGGGAUAUCAGGCCGCUUAUGCGGAUGCUGAAACCAUCAGAGUUAGACAUAGUGACGAUGAUGGUGGUCAUCGUAAUGAUGUAUUUGAGAUAUUGAGUAAAUUGAAAUAUGGUCAGCCAUUAUACUUGACUAGUGUAGAGCUUGAUGAACACCAUACAGAGCCUCCACCCCGUUAUUCUGAGGGCUCACUAGUAAAAAAGCUAGAGGAACUCGGUAUCGGAAGACCUUCUACAUAUGCAACCACUAUUAAGGUGCUAAAAGAUAGAAAAUAUGUAACAAUGAAAAGUAGGGCAUUGAUUCCUGAAUUUCGUGGUCGCAUGGUCUCAGCAUUUCUUUCACAUUAUUUUUCGGAGGUGACAGAUUACAGUUUUACUGCUGAUAUGGAGGCUGAACUUGAUAAUGUAUCUGGUGGAAUAACUGAAUGGAAGGGCCUUCUGAAAGAUUAUUGGACUAGAUUUAGCAAGUACUGUGAGAGUGCUAGUGGUGUCCACAUCCAUCAGGUUGAGAAAAUGUUGGAAAAAACAUUUGGUGACUUCUUAUUUUCUUCUCUUCGUGAUGGAAAUAGGACUUGCCCAAGCUGUCUGGCUGGGACAUUAGUCUUCAAAGUUAGCAGGUUUGGUGCAGGAUACUUUAUUGGUUGUGAUCAACACCCAAAAUGCAAGUAUAUUGCUCAAACACUCUAUGGUGAAGAUAAUGACGAUGACAUCCAGGACCAACAAAAGAGAAGUGUCGAGGAGCCAAAGUUGCUGGGCUUACAUCCAGCAUCUCAGGAUAAGAUUCUGUUGAAGUGUGGUCCAUAUGGACACUAUGUGCAGCUUGGUGAAGACAGGAAAGGGCAUCCACCCAAGCGAGCAUCAUUGUCUCACAUUAAGGAUGUGGCCUCCGUCACGUUGGAUAUUGCCAUAGACUUGUUGCAGUAUCCAGUAACCUUGGGAAACCACCCAGAUGAUAGCCAACCCGUGAUUCUGAAGCUUGCAAAGGGUGGAUUUUCCAUCAGACACAGACGCACAAUUGCUCCCGUUCCCAAGAAUCUAAAACCCAGUGAGAUAACCUUAGAGAAAGGUUUGGAACUACUAAACGGUAAAGAUGUAAAGAGGUGUGGACGACCGAAGCAAAAAAAGAGUGCUGAACCGGCAGAGGCUAUGUAAUUUACAAUUUGAAUUUGCAGGUCAGGUAAUAUCUUGCAAGGCUUAUACUGGCAGUGUAGCUUUUGAAGCUGAUAUGCCAUGAUCCUGUCACUGCUGGUUACCAUUGAAGUAUAUGGGCUAUGAUUGGACGAACUGCAAAUCCAUUGAUCGUGCAUUUUUCCCCAUGUGUGGACACUACAAUACCUGCAGCAAUCGUGGUUGAGGUGAAAAAACUUCUUAAGGAAAUGGGGAGAAAAGAAAAGGUCAAUGGCGAUGAAUGCCAUUAAUCCUGAUAAUUGUAUCUUUUGUUUGGAAAACAAAAUAUGCCAAGAAUAUUAGAUCAAUCUGCUUAAUGGCUCACCUUGAGAAUGUCACUGUCAUGCUCUAACCACCUUUCAGGUCGCUAUGAAGGACUUUCUUCUUCUGAAGUUGGUAUUUAUCACUUUAAUAUCUGAUGAAUAAAGGUCUCCGCUCUUAUACUGUAUUUCUUUGUAAUGUAUCAUCACUUCUAAUCAUCUCCAU